CUGCAGCUGAUGAGUCCCAAAUAGGACGAAAUGCGUGUCUCGGAU
Non-coding RNA from Schistosoma rodhaini, 45 nucleotides. NCBI's taxonomy places the organism in Eukaryota, Metazoa, Platyhelminthes, Trematoda, Strigeidida, Schistosomatidae. The record is from Rfam.